AAAAAACGCCAAAAAUUCAGGAAUUUUUUGAACAGAAUGAAAUAUAUGAAUUAGCUCCAUUAUCAUCAACGAGCAUUACAUUAAGGAGAACAUUAUGUGCGGACAAGGCAAUUACUCAGGCUGCUUGUAUUGCAAUAUUAUUUCUAUUUUCGGGAUCCGAUCCAGCACAAUUUAAUACAACCACAUUUCCGGAAAUAUUGUCACAUUUUCCCUACGGCGCUUCUGUGAAAACAAUACUUCAUUUUUCCCAAAAUAUUAUCACACGUGAGUAUUUCGUGUCUUUUUAGAAAGAAAUUACAGAUAUUUAUAAAUAAUGAUGGAGAUAUAGAAAUUUUAAUUCCUGAUCCAAUAGAUGUUAUAAUUGCUUUUGUUAUAUGCGCUUUAAAUCUUAUAAGCCAACACUUGGAGUUAGAUGCAUAUUUCAGUGUCGAUUUUUGAAACGACGCCUGCUAUUUUUCCAUUGCCUCUUGAAGCUCAUUGUUAGUAGUUGAGCCAUCGAUCAUACAUGAUCUCGUCUCAGAAGUGUUCUCAUCUUUGCUAAAUAAUUUUUAACUGUAACUUUUAACUGUAU
This is a long non-coding RNA of Pogonomyrmex barbatus (red harvester ant), 571 nucleotides long. The record is from RefSeq and is a predicted model, not a curated record. Lineage: Eukaryota; Metazoa; Arthropoda; Insecta; Hymenoptera; Formicidae.